AUGGGGUCUGCCACCGUCCUUGCCCUCCUCCUGGCUGUUCUCCCAGGUGCGUGUGCCCAGGUGCAGCUGGUGCAGUCUGGGGCACAGGUGAAAAGGCCCGGGGAGUCCCUGAGGAUCUCCUGUGAGACGUCUGGUUACAGAUUUACCAGUGGCUGCUGGAUCAGCUGGGAGCGCCAGGCUCCAGGGCAAGGUCUCGACUGGGUGGGGAGGAUUGAUCCUGGUGAUUCAGAUACACGGUAUGGCCCGUCCUUCCAAGGCCAUGUCACCCUCUCUGCUGACAACUCUGCCAGCACUGCCUACCUGCAGUGGAGCAGCCCGAAGGCCUCAGACACAGCCGUGUGUGACUGUGCCAGAGACACAGUGAGGCGAUGUCGGUGGGAGCCCAGACACGAACCUCCCUACUGGGACACACGGGGCCACAAUGGGGCGCGCAGGACCCACCAAGUUCAGGGCUGA
This is a non-coding RNA of Cynocephalus volans (Philippine flying lemur), 456 nucleotides long. NCBI's taxonomy places the organism in Eukaryota, Metazoa, Chordata, Mammalia, Dermoptera, Cynocephalidae. The record is from the annotation of a RefSeq genome assembly.